UAGAAGUAUCUGGAACUCGUUUGUUGCCAAACUGGGAAUCCUGAGGUCUCCAGAAAAUAUCACAGGAGGACUGCAUUCAUGCAUGAGAUUGCACUUCUUUAUGCAGCUGCUUGGGUGGUGGCACAAUUUUUGUUUUAGUUCAUAGGAUGCUGUUAUGUAGCCAAAACCGACGUGUUAUCUGGCCAUUCUGUACAUAAUGUUGUCCCUAGAAAGGAUUGGUCUUUGCUAAUCUUGAUUAAGCUUAGUAUGGUGAAACACACAUGAUUUUGCUUGUCGGGUCUCCUUGUGAUCGUUCCAUGUACAAUUGGCUAACUAGUGGUAGUUGUUAUCUAUCUACGUUCUCUAAAUUAGCCUAAUGAGUAACACAUAUGAUUUUGCUUGUCUGAUCUCCUUGUGAUAUCCUUCUAUGUACAAUUGGCUAACUAGUGGUAGUUGUUGUCUUUCUACCUUCUCUAAAUUAGCCUAAUGAGUUGAGUUGUUGUCUCUCAGUUCAAUUUUAUGUAUCAAGGAGAAUUUUGAAACCCAUUAUGUUGCAAUUUUAUUUCCCUUUCCAGUUCAGUUUUUUGGUUUAACAAAAACGUGUAACAAGUAUAAUCUUGUGGUGACUAUGGUAGUU
This 616-nucleotide long non-coding RNA is filed under the name Nicotiana benthamiana. Its description in RNAcentral is "long non-coding RNA (NBEN_LNC010528)". The record is from RNAcentral. Lineage: Eukaryota; Viridiplantae; Streptophyta; Magnoliopsida; Solanales; Solanaceae.